This 434-nucleotide ribosomal RNA is filed under the name uncultured bacterium. RNAcentral describes it as "bacterial SSU rRNA". It matches the Rfam family "Bacterial small subunit ribosomal RNA", at positions 957 to 1391 of the family's 1533-position model. The record is from RNAcentral.
GAACGCGAAGAACCUUACCUGGGCUUGACAUACACCAGAUUGCUGCAGAGAUGUAGUGUCCCUUGUGGUUGGUGUACAGGUGGUGCAUGGUUGUCGUCAGCUCGUGUCGUGAGAUGUUGGGUUAAGUCCCGCAACGAGCGCAACCCUUGUCUUAUGUUGCCAGCAUUUUAGUUGGGGACUCAUGAGAGACUGCCGGGGUUAACUCGGAGGAAGGUGGGGAUGACGUCAAAUCAUCAUGCCCCUUAUGUCCAGGGCUUCACACAUGCUACAAUGGUCGGUACAACGCGCAGCGACACUGUGAGGUGGAGCGAAUCGCUGAAAGCCGGUCUUAGUUCGGAUUGGGGUCUGCAACUCGACCCCAUGAAGUCGGAGUCGCUAGUAAUCGUAGAUCAGCAAUGCUGCGGUGAAUACGUUUCCCGGGUCUUGUACACACC